This 507-nucleotide ribosomal RNA is filed under the name Triticum aestivum (bread wheat). Its description in RNAcentral is "partial small subunit ribosomal RNA". The record is from RNAcentral. Lineage: Eukaryota; Viridiplantae; Streptophyta; Magnoliopsida; Poales; Poaceae.
AUGCCUAAAAUUAUCUACUCUGCAUCGGAGUCUCUUAUAUUUCAACCCCUAGAUCCAUACAAAGCAUGUAAAAAAAUAAUCCUAUGUACCACCCUUGCUAGCUUCGUCGUGGGAGAUGACCACGACGUCCGUGCCGGGAGCCAGGUGGAUGGGCGCGUAGAAGGAUUACGGCUCCUCCUCCUCCUGCUCGACCUCAUCCAUGUAGGCGAACAUCUCCUUCUCCACGGCGUGUUGCGCCUUCAUUCCUACCGGCGACGGCGUCUCGCCUCCGUAUCCGGCUCCGAGCGGACGGAAUCGAGGAUGGCUUGCUGCUCCGCCUGCAGAUCCGCGUCCCCCACAUCCUCCUCCGGCACCUCCUCCUCCUCCUCCUCAACCUCCCCCUCCUCCUCCAACUCCUCCUAUGAAUCCACUUCAUCCGGAGGUAGCCUCGCUGCGAUCCGAGCUUCGCGCCUUGCCCGGAUUUGCUCAAGGAGCUCCAGCCGACACUCCGGCGUUAGAAAUGGGUAG